GAUACUGUGUUCAUGACGCUGUUGUACUGUGUAACACAAUUCACUUAUCCUGAUCUAGUACCAGCAACGUGAUUUGUCACACGUGAGGAUUCAUAUAAAAACAAAAGCACACGUCUUUUCACAAUAAAAAAAUCAAUCUGGAAAGAUGAAAAUGAAACCUGUUGUAGUUGUGUUAGUUGUGCUGGUGUUGGCUUUCUGUAUGGUUUGUGCCAGUCCUCUUCAGAACGAGCAACUGGAAAGUCAAGUGUUGGAUUCGAAUAAAGCGAAAACUGAUAACAGCAGAAGAGGUGGCAUAUUUUUCGCAAGAGGACCCCGGCGACGUACCUGGCGUCCUCCACGAAUCUCAUUGACAUGACGUACAUGUAUAGAUGAUUGGAUUCCGCAGUCAUAAACUUGGAAAUUUCAUAGCCAAAACAAAUAAAAAAAAAAAGGAAAAGUAUAUUUAGAAUGAUGCAGCUUUCCGGUGUUUAGAACGUCAAUUUAACAUUCAAUUUAUAUAUGUACUUUUAAAUGUUUGUAUCCUACUAGAGAAAAGAGACACAAACCAUUACUAUUAUCGAAAAUAUAAAUUGGUAGAAAUUCUACCAGGCGUAUUAUCUGAGGAUGUGCGAGAUAGUAAAUGAUAUUUUCUGUCUGAGUAUAUGUUGGAUCAUUUAUCCAGAAACUAAAUUAUAUACUUUCUAGUUAAUGUA
Molecule: long non-coding RNA, 692 nt
Organism: Ostrea edulis (European flat oyster)
Lineage: Eukaryota; Metazoa; Mollusca; Bivalvia; Ostreida; Ostreidae
Exons: 2
Source: RefSeq, a predicted model, not a curated record